Molecule: unclassified non-coding RNA, 253 nt
Filed under: uncultured Caryophanales bacterium
Lineage: Bacteria; Bacillati; Bacillota; Bacilli; Caryophanales
Description: uncultured Bacillales bacterium contains 16S-23S intergenic spacer region
Rfam family: Bacterial small subunit ribosomal RNA
Source: RNAcentral
UACGUAGGUGGCAAGCGUUGUCCGGAAUUAUUGGGCGUAAAGCGCGCGCAGGCGGUCCCUUAAGUCUGAUGUGAAAGCCCACGGCUCAAGCUAGGAGGGCCAUUGGAAACUGGGAGGCUUGAGUAUAGGAGAGAAGAGUGGAAUUCCACGUGUAGCGGUGAUAUGCGUAGAGAUGUGGAGGAAAACCAGUGGCGAAGGCGACUCUUUGGCCUAUAACUGACGCUGAGGCGCGAAAGCGUGGGGAGCAAACAGG